AAAGAACCCCGGCGAGGGGAGUGAAAA
Molecule: ribosomal RNA, 27 nt
Filed under: Escherichia coli
Lineage: Bacteria; Pseudomonadati; Pseudomonadota; Gammaproteobacteria; Enterobacterales; Enterobacteriaceae
Description: 23S ribosomal RNA from Escherichia coli (PDB 3BO0, chain E)
Source: RNAcentral